CUGGCAGAGCUCGCAGUAGAUACUGGGAGGGAAUGGUUCCCCAGCUCUCCGAAGAAUCAGUAGCAACUAGUGAAGUAGUGAGGGGUGGGUUCCCUUGGGUUAUUUUCCCAACCUCAGUUGUUCACUUUAAGAUGAUUCGCCCCACUGCUGGGCACGUCCUCAGGAGGAUUUAGAGGCCAACAGUACCGCGCCUUCCCUCAGAUUCUGGAUUUUCACAGGCCACAUUGUUAUUUGCUGCUCCACUGCAUUAUUUUUGGACUGAGGACACAAGGAGAGUUCACACGGUCUUCCUCGUACCUCCCUCUGGCCUGGAAUUCACUAUAUAAACCCAGGAAAAGAUUGAAAAUUUUCAAGAUCUUCCAGAAGAAUCAAUUUUCUGAAACAUUAAGAAUUUAGCAGUUUAAAGCAGAAAUUAAGAUUUCUACAUAAUGGUUAGCUAACUUGACUACCUAAGUGGGAACACCUCAAGACUUAUUUGACCACAAAAACUCCAGUGUCCUCUCUGUUCCAUGACAUGUGAUAUUAAACCUGUUCCAACCAG
This is a long non-coding RNA of Mastomys coucha (southern multimammate mouse), 541 nucleotides long. RefSeq lists it as uncharacterized. The transcript has 2 exons. Lineage: Eukaryota; Metazoa; Chordata; Mammalia; Rodentia; Muridae. The record is from RefSeq and is a predicted model, not a curated record.